UGUCAUACUUCCAAGAAAAGCUCGCAAUGUCAUAAACAAAUAAUGCCUGUACCAUAACCGACACAGGUGGGUAGGUAGAGUAUACUAAGGGGCGCGAGAUAACUCUCUCUAAGGAACUCGGCAAAAUGACUCCGUAACUUCGGGAGAAGGAGUGCCUUAUUUAUAAGGUUGCAAUAACAAGAUCCAAGCAACUGUUUAUCAAAAACACAGGUCUCCGCUAAGUCGUAAGACGAUGUAUGGGGGCUGACGCCUGCCCAGUGCCAGAAGGUUAAAGAAGUUGGUUAGCAUUCGCGAAGCUGAUAACUGAAGCCCUGGUGAACGGCGGCCGUAACUAUAACGGUCCUAAGGUAGCGAAAUUCCUUGUCGGGUAAGUUCCGACCCGCACGAAAGGCGUAAUGAUUUGGAUACUGUCUCGGAGAGGGGCUCGGUGAAAUAGACUUGUCUGUGAAGAUGCGGACUACCUGCACCUGGACAGAAAGACCCUAUGAAGCUUUACUGUAACUUGAAAUUGAAAUUGGACUUUAUUUGCGCAGCAUAGGUGGGAGGCGUUGAGAGUAUUCUUGCGGGAAUAUUGGAGCCAUCAGUGAGAUACCACUCUUGUAAUGUUAGAUUUCUAACUUUGGAUCAUUAUCUGGUCAAAGAACAGUUUCAGGCGGGCAGUUUGACUGGGGCGGUCGCCUCCCAAAUGGUAACGGAGGCGUACAAAGGUUUCCUCUGAACGGGUAGAAAUCGUAUCUAGAGUGUAAAGGCAUAAGGAAGCUUGACUGUGAGACCUACAAGUCGAGCAGGGACGAAAGUCGGUCUUAGUGAUCUGACGGUGCUGAGUGGAAAGGCCGUCACUCAACGGAUAAAAGUUACUCUAAGGAUAACAGGCUGAUCUCCCCCAAGAGUUCACAUCGACGGGGAGGUUUGGCACCUCGAUGUCGGCUCAUCGCAUCCUGGGGCGGUAGUACGUCCCAAGGGUUGGGCUGUUCGCCCAUGAAAGCGGUACGCGAGCUGGGUUCAGAACGUCGUGAGACAGUUCGGUCCAUAUCCGGUGUAGGCGUUAGAAUAUUGAGAGGAGCCUUCUUUAGUACGAGAGGACCGAGAAGGACAUACCUCUGGUGUACCAGUUAUCGUGCCAACGGUAAACGCUGGGUAGCUAUGUAUGGAGAGGAUAACCGCUGAAAGCAUCUAAGUGGGAAGCCCACCUCAAGAUAAG
Molecule: ribosomal RNA, 1201 nt
Filed under: metagenome
Description: bacterial LSU rRNA
Rfam family: Bacterial large subunit ribosomal RNA
Source: RNAcentral